GUAAGAGACACGAGGAGAGUGCAGUUUUGUACACUUUGGCCUUGUCCUCGCAGGAGCAGUGACCCUGAGGAUGUGGUCAAGUUAAUCAAUUACACAUUUAAAGACACAAACUAAGGGAGAAUAGAUUCUUUGGCUCACAGACAACUUUUCAGUUCAUGGAUUGGGAUUAUCCAUAUUUGGAGAAAAAUCACACCAGUCUGUUGCAUAAUUCAAAUCAUGAGACUCACCUGUCAAGAAUGCUCAGUGAUCUUCACACUGGUCAGCCUGGUGGGUGCUCUAUCACAAUCGUUUGGUAAGUUCAAAUCCAUUU
This is a long non-coding RNA of Coturnix japonica (Japanese quail), 310 nucleotides long. The record is from Ensembl. Lineage: Eukaryota; Metazoa; Chordata; Aves; Galliformes; Phasianidae.